AUACGUAUGGGGCUAGCGUUGUUCGGAUUCACUGGGCGUAAAGGGCGUGUAGGCGGCUAUGCAAGUCGGAUGUGAAAUUUUCAGGCUUAACCUGAAAACUGCAUUCGAAACUGCGUAGCUAGAGUACCGGAGAGGGAGACGGAAUUCCUGGUGUAGGGGUGAAAUCUGUAGAUAUAAGGAAGAACACCGGUGGCGAAGGCGGUCUCCUGGCCGGAUACUGACGCUGAGGCGCGAAAGCUAGGGGAGCAAACAGGAUUAGAUACCCUAGUAGUCC
This 274-nucleotide ribosomal RNA is filed under the name uncultured bacterium. RNAcentral describes it as "partial 16S ribosomal RNA". It matches the Rfam family "Bacterial small subunit ribosomal RNA", at positions 523 to 796 of the family's 1533-position model. The record is from RNAcentral.